GGCGAGGUAGUUUAACGGUAGAACAUUAGAAUCAUAAUCUAAUAGUUAUAGGUUCGAAUCCUAUUCUCGUUA
This 72-nucleotide transfer RNA is filed under the name Rhodomelopsis africana. RNAcentral's name for it is "tRNA-Met". It matches the Rfam family "tRNA". Rfam says of the family: Transfer RNA (tRNA) molecules are approximately 80 nucleotides in length. Their secondary structure includes four short double-helical elements and three loops (D, anti-codon, and T loops). Further hydrogen bonds mediate the characteristic L-shaped molecular structure. tRNAs have two regions of fundamental functional importance: the anti-codon, which is responsible for specific mRNA codon recognition, and the 3' end, to which the tRNAs corresponding amino acid is attached (by aminoacyl-tRNA synthetases). tRNAs cope with the degeneracy of the genetic code in two manners: having more than one tRNA (with a specific anti-codon) for a particular amino acid; and 'wobble' base-pairing, i.e. permitting non-standard base-pairing at the 3rd anti-codon position. Lineage: Eukaryota; Rhodophyta; Florideophyceae; Ceramiales; Rhodomelaceae. The record is from RNAcentral.